AAACAAACCAGAGAAGAAGAAGUGAACCAGGACGGAAACAAAAACGCAGAAGAAGAAUAAAGACGAGCACAAUUGUAGAAAUUGCACAAACUUUUGAAGAAA
Molecule: long non-coding RNA, 102 nt
Organism: Melanotaenia boesemani (Boeseman's rainbowfish)
Lineage: Eukaryota; Metazoa; Chordata; Actinopteri; Atheriniformes; Melanotaeniidae
Exons: 3
Source: RefSeq, a predicted model, not a curated record